UACAGAGGGGGCAAGCGUUGUUCGGAAUUACUGGGCGUAAAGGGCGCGUAGGCGGCCUUCUAAGUCGAACGUGAAAUCCCCGGGCUCAACCCGGGAACUGCGUCCGAUACUGGAAGGCUUGAAUCCGGGAGAGGGAUGCGGAAUUCCAGGUGUAGCGGUGAAAUGCGUAGAUAUCUGGAGGAACACCGGUGGCGAAGGCGGCAUCCUGGACCGGUAUUGACGCAGAGGCGCGAAAGCCAGGGGAGCAAACGGG
RNAcentral lists this ribosomal RNA (253 nucleotides) under uncultured bacterium. Its description in RNAcentral is "partial 16S ribosomal RNA". It matches the Rfam family "Bacterial small subunit ribosomal RNA", at positions 524 to 776 of the family's 1533-position model. The record is from RNAcentral.